Molecule: ribosomal RNA, 253 nt
Filed under: uncultured bacterium
Lineage: Bacteria
Description: partial 16S ribosomal RNA
Rfam family: Bacterial small subunit ribosomal RNA
Source: RNAcentral
UACGGAGGGGGCUAGCGUUAUUCGGAAUUACUGGGCGUAAAGGGCUCGUAGGCGGCCAACUAAGUCGGACGUGAAAUCCCUCGGCUUAACCGGGGAACUGCGUCUGAUACUGGAUGGCUUGAAUCCGGGAGAGGGACGUGGAAUUCCAGGUGUAGCGGUGAAAUGCGUAGAUAUCUGGAGGAACACCGGUGGCGAAGGCGACGUCCUGGACCGGCAUUGACGCUGAGGCGCGAAAGCCAGGGGAGCAAACGGG